GAUGAACGCUGGCGGCGUGCUUAACACAUGCAAGUCGAACGUGAAGCGUGUUUUGAAUACUUCGGUAGGAUAAAUGUGUGGAAAGUGGCGAACGGGUGAGUAACACGUAGGUGACCUGCCUCGUAGUGGGGGACAACCGGUGGAAACGCCGGCUAAUACCGCAUGGUUCUGUCGGUCUGGGAAGGCCGAUAGAUAAAGCUGUGGCUUCGGUUGCGGCGCUAUGAGAGGGGCCUGCGUUCGAUUAGCUAGUUGGUGGGGUAAAGGCCCACCAAGGCGACGAUCGAUAGCUGGUCUGAGAGGACGAUCAGCCACAUGGGAACUGAGACACGGUCCCAACUCCUACGGGGGGCAGCAGUGAGGAAUAUUGCACAAUGGGGGAAACCCUGAUGCAGCAACGCCGCGUGAAGGAUGAAGGUUCUUGGAUCGUAAACUUCUUUUCUGAGGGAAGAGAAAGGACGGUACCUCAGGAAUAAGUCACGGCUAACUACG
RNAcentral lists this ribosomal RNA (489 nucleotides) under uncultured Caldilineaceae bacterium. RNAcentral's name for it is "bacterial SSU rRNA". It matches the Rfam family "Bacterial small subunit ribosomal RNA", at positions 28 to 505 of the family's 1533-position model. Lineage: Bacteria; Bacillati; Chloroflexota; Caldilineae; Caldilineales; Caldilineaceae. The record is from RNAcentral.